GACGAACGCUGGCGGCGUGCUUAACACAUGCAAGUCGAACGGAAAGGCCCUGCUUGCAGGGUACUCGAGUGGCGAACGGGUGAGUAACACGUGGGUGAUCUGCCCUGCACUUCGGGAUAAGCCUGGGAAACUGGGUCUAAUACCGGAUAGGAGCCAUUUUUAGUGUGAUGGUUGGAAAGUUUUUUCGGGUUAGGAUGAGCGCGCGGCCUAUCAGCUUGUUGGUGGGGUAAUGGCCUACCAAGGCGGCGACGGGUAGCCGGCCUGAGAGGGUGGACGGCCACAUUGGGACUGAGAUACGGCCCAGACUCCUACGGGAGGCAGCAGUGGGGAAUAUUGAACAAUGGGCGCAAGCCUGAUGCAGCGACGCCGCGUGGGGGAUGACGGCCUUCGGGUUGUAAACUCCUUUCGCUAGGGACGAAGCUUUUUGUGACGGUACCUAGAUAAGAAGCACCGGCUAACUACGUG
This 465-nucleotide ribosomal RNA is filed under the name uncultured bacterium. Its description in RNAcentral is "partial 16S ribosomal RNA". It matches the Rfam family "Bacterial small subunit ribosomal RNA", at positions 28 to 507 of the family's 1533-position model. The record is from RNAcentral.